Molecule: ribosomal RNA, 468 nt
Filed under: uncultured bacterium
Lineage: Bacteria
Description: partial 16S ribosomal RNA
Rfam family: Bacterial small subunit ribosomal RNA
Source: RNAcentral
GACGAACGCUGGCGGCGUGCUUAACACAUGCAAGUCGAACGGAAAGGCCCUGCUUUUGUGGGGUGCUCGAGUGGCGAACGGGUGAGUAACACGUGAGUAACCUGCCCUUGACUUUGGGAUAACUUCAGGAAACUUGGGCUAAUACCGGAUAGGAGCUCCUUCUGCAUGGUGGGGGUUGGAAAGUUUCGGCGGUUGGGGAUGGACUCGCGGCUUAUCAGCUUGUUGGUGGGGUAGUGGCUUACCAAGGCUUUGACGGGUAGCCGGCCUGAGAGGGUGACCGGCCACAUUGGGACUGAGAUACGGCCCAGACUCCUACGGGAGGCAGCAGUGGGGAAUAUUGCACAAUGGGCGGAAGCCUGAUGCAGCAACGCCGCGUGCGGGAUGACGGCCUUCGGGUUGUAAACCGCUUUCGCCUGUGACGAAGCGUGAGUGACGGUAAUGGGUAAAGAAGCACCGGCUAACUACGUG